CCCCCUCCAAAUUGCUGUUGCGUCCUUCAAGAAUGUUUAAAUUUAAGAAAUAUGUUAAGAAACUGCUUCAUCCGACUGAUAAUAAGUGCAAAACAUGCAUGAACCAUCUUCGAACCAGUCUCAACAAAAAGAUGCUUCAACGUCCUAAUAAUCUCUUUCUUCUCUUGGCGACCUUCUUCAUAUUCUGGUCACGCUGGACUGUAAGCGGCGUCGUUUCAGAUCCACAGACCCACCUUCUGCACAGUGGAUGCAGCCCGUUCUACGAAUACUUCAUGUCCAACUUCUCGACGUUCAACGAAACCUUAACACAACGUUUAGAGAAGUCCAAGGGCAGAUCGUGACUCGCAACAAGUACUUCGCUACGGCGCAGCAAGGCGGCGGAAAUGACCCAGGUUCCACUCUUUUUCAGUGCAGAAAUUACCUCUCCAUCCCCGACUGUGCCGCCUGCUUCGAUGUGGUUUCCGUUCAGAUCCGCAACUGCUACGGCGGAGCACACGGUGCCCGUGUCGUCGACGACGGCUGUUUCCUCAGGUAUGAGACAAGUGCUUUCUUUGACCAAACGACAGCGACUUUUAAUGCCGUUUCAUGUGGUGGGAAUCAGACUAAAGGAGAAUCCUCUACAUUUACUUCAUCUGUGCAACAAGUGUUAAUGAAUCUCCAAACGACAACACCAACCAUCACUGGCUUUCAUGCAGCUACCAAAGCCCAAGUGCCUAAUAAUGGUCCAAUUAUAUAUGCCUUUGCUCGAUGUAUUGAAACUGUCACACAGAGUGGUUGCUUCAAUUGCUUAAACGCAGCGUCUAGCGAUAUGCCAACUUGUCUUCCCAAUUCAGAUGGUAAGGCUUUUGCAGAUGGGUGUUUCAUGAUAUACUCCACCACCUCCUUCUUUCCUGGUAACCAGACCAUCUCUAUCACACCCUUGAAGAAACAAGGUUCAAGCAAGAAAGGGUAAAUUACUGGUGUUGUUGUUGGAGGUGUAGCUUUUCUUCUGAUCCUUUUUGCUUCAUUUGCCUGGUUCUGACGACCAAAAACUUCUAAGAGAGUUCCUACAGAAGAAGAGAUAACUGGAGCAAGCAAGUUAAACCGCCCAAUUACUUACAGUUAUAAGGAUUUGAUGUUGGCAACCAAGAAUUUUAGAGAAGAAAAUAAACUUGGAGAAGGAGGGUUUGGCGUUGUAUACAAGGGUACUCUGAAAAGUGGGAAAGUAGUUGCAAUCAAGAAAUUAAAUUUUCGCCAAUUCACAAGGAUGGAGGAAGAGUUUGAGAGUGAAGUGAAUUUGAUACGUAAUGUUCAUCAUCUAAAUCUUGUUCGACUUCUAGGAUGUUGCAGUAAAGGACAAAACAGAAUUCUUGUCUAUGAAUACAUGAAAAAUAAUAGUCUUGACAGGUACCUAUUUGGUAAAGAGAAGGGUUCUCUCAACUGGAAGCAAAGGUGUAACAUAAUUUUAGGAACAGCAAAAGGGUUGGCUUAUCUACAUGAGGAGUUUCGUGUUUGUAUCAUACAUAGAGAUAUAAAGACUAACAACAUCCUUUUAGAUGAUAAUAUACAGUCUAAAAUUGCUGAUUUUGGAUUGGCGAGGCUUUUGCCUAAGGAUAAAUCUCAUCUCAGUAUAAAAUUUGCAGGAACAUUGUAAGUCAACAUAAUAUGUUUAAUUUUCUAAACCUCUACUACUGUAUAUAAAUUAUUGAAGAUAAAAUCUAUGUACAAGUCAAU
This is an RNA transcript of Neltuma alba, 1713 nucleotides long. It is a transcript of the gene named cold-responsive protein kinase 1-like, with no coding region annotated. The record is from RefSeq and is a predicted model, not a curated record. Lineage: Eukaryota; Viridiplantae; Streptophyta; Magnoliopsida; Fabales; Fabaceae. The transcript is spliced from 6 exons.